Molecule: ribosomal RNA, 243 nt
Filed under: uncultured prokaryote
Description: partial 16S ribosomal RNA
Rfam family: Bacterial small subunit ribosomal RNA
Source: RNAcentral
UACAGAGGGGGCAAGCGUUGUUCGGAAUUACUGGGCGUAAAGGGCGCGUAGGCGGCAUGUUAAGUCAGCUGUGAAAUCUCCGAGCUUAACUCGGAACGGUCAGCUGAUACUGAUGUGCUAGAGUGCGGAAGGGGCAAUCGGAAUUCUUGGUGUAGCGGUGAAAUGCGUAGAUAUCAAGAGGAACACCUGAGGUGAAGACGGGUUGCUGGGCCGACACUGACGCUGAGUGCGCGAAAGCCAGGG